Long non-coding RNA from Canis lupus familiaris (dog), 761 nucleotides. RefSeq lists it as uncharacterized. The record is from RefSeq and is a predicted model, not a curated record. Lineage: Eukaryota; Metazoa; Chordata; Mammalia; Carnivora; Canidae. The transcript has 3 exons.
UCCCUUGAUCCUGUGUGAGAUUUGUGUCAUUCUGAAGAAAGAAUUUGAGGUGUUUCUUUUGUGUGGUUGGAGGUUAAGUUGCCAUGGUAAUGGCUUAUUGUGAAAUACCCAGAGAAGUGCAUUAGGAACAUUGCAUGUGGCAACUCCACCUCGGUUCCUGUUAUAAUAGUCUAGGCAGACCUUGACUUUCUUGGUCCCAAGCAAUCUUUCCAUACUUUUAUAAUAACAGGAAUUUGCAUUUCUACCCCAAGGCUGCCUUUUUCAAUACCUCCUGCUGCUUUUAGAACAACCAGAAAGAGAAUCAUUAUGGAAAUGGCUUCAUAUCAGCUCAGACUCCAUGCUCCGAAGAGCAGAUGAGAAAUAAUUGACAAGAACAGUGGCCCAUGAACUUCUCUAACGUAGAACACUUUCUGAAGUUUAUUCUACCAAAGUAAACGAUGCAGAUAUGUCACCAAAGAAUCUACUAUUUUAUUAUACACGUUGCCAACAUUGAAAUGAGACCCACGUCCUUAGAGUGUGACUUAGUCUCAUAAACAUUAAUGCGGUGGCCCUCGGAAGUCCCCCGAAGGGUAGGUCACAGGCCGUGUCUGAGGUAAAGGAGAUGUUCGUGCUGUCUAGACGGCUUCCUCGCUCAUGUUCAGUGCUCCACUCGCCUUCUUGAGAAACCAUGAGCUCCGCAUGUGAUGACUACCUUAGAAGUCCCUGUUCAUUGAAAUACUGCAGCAAAUUUAUGGUGGAGUUUUCUUUAGUACAAAAAUAAA